AGCUAAGUAGUCUAAAUAUAUUGAUUUAGGGCGGAUGCCUUGAAAGCAUCAGGUAGUGACUAACUUUCACUUUUAGCUU
This 79-nucleotide transfer RNA is filed under the name Haematomyzus elephantis (elephant louse). Its description in RNAcentral is "tRNA-Ser". Lineage: Eukaryota; Metazoa; Arthropoda; Insecta; Psocodea; Haematomyzidae. The record is from RNAcentral.